UACGAAGGGGGCUAGCGUUGUUCGGAAUUACUGGGCGUAAAGCGCGCGCAGGCGGUCUUCCAAGUCAGUGGUGAAAGCCUGGAGCUCAACUCCAGAACUGCCAUUGAAACUGUUAGACUUGAGUACGAGAGAGGUGAGUGGAAUUCCCAGUGUAGAGGUGAAAUUCGUAGAUAUUGGGAAGAACACCAGUGGCGAAGGCGGCUCACUGGCUCUAACUGACGCUCAGGCGCGACAGCGUGGGGAUCAAACAGG
Molecule: ribosomal RNA, 252 nt
Filed under: uncultured bacterium
Lineage: Bacteria
Description: partial 16S ribosomal RNA
Rfam family: Bacterial small subunit ribosomal RNA
Source: RNAcentral